AAGCAACUCGAAUGCAUUGUGGUUUGCAAAAUCUUCAAACUGUUGAGAAAUGCAUAGUGAGCCACUGAAUCAAAGUCCAAUCCUAACUGAAAGCACUGCAUGAAUGGAUUGAAAUCAUGGAAUUGGAAGGUAAAAAGGGAGCAAUAUAUUGCUUUACCUGUCCUCUGGCUCGUUUAUGUCUAAGGCCAAUGUAAAACUCAUCGUUCAGAAGCU
This is a long non-coding RNA of Cucurbita maxima (winter squash), 213 nucleotides long. RefSeq lists it as uncharacterized. The transcript has 2 exons. Lineage: Eukaryota; Viridiplantae; Streptophyta; Magnoliopsida; Cucurbitales; Cucurbitaceae. The record is from RefSeq and is a predicted model, not a curated record.